This 537-nucleotide ribosomal RNA is filed under the name Triticum aestivum (bread wheat). Its description in RNAcentral is "partial small subunit ribosomal RNA". The record is from RNAcentral. Lineage: Eukaryota; Viridiplantae; Streptophyta; Magnoliopsida; Poales; Poaceae.
UCUGGUUCUUGUGUUUCACCAAGGGAAUAUUAUUGUUUCAAACUACAAAUUCGAGCCAAAGAAUUUAAUGUGUUAGUUUUUGGAAAACGACUCACUCAACAAUAUAUUGUUGAUAUGUACAUAAAGAUUGAAUCGAUAAGAUUGGCAUUCUACUUAAAACCAGCAAAUCAAAUUCUCAUACGAGCAGAUCUAUAUCAAGGGCUGGUUGAUAGUGUUAUUGCUGGUGAGACACGUGCAUGCAUGAUUGGCAAGCGCAUUGUGCUCCCUGCCUCUUUCAUUGGAGGUCCAAGGGACAUGCGCCGAAGGUAUCUAGAUGCUAUGGCUUUGGUCCAGCGGUUUGGAAAGCCAGAUUUAUUUUUAACAAUGACGUGCAACCCAAGUUGGGAAGAGAUAAUAAAAGAACUCGCUCCAGGCCAAUCAGCACAAGACCGACCAGACUUGGUAGCACGGGUCUUUAGGGCAAAAUUGGAGGAUCUGAAAAAGCUUAUAUUUAAGAAGAAAUUCUUUGGCGAGGUUGCUGCUUACGUGUAUGCCAUU